AGCAUAUCAAUAAGCGGAGGAAAAGAAACCAACAGGGAUUGCCUCAGUAACGGCGAGUGAAGCGGCAACAGCUCAAAUUUGAAAUCUGGCUCCUUCGGGGCCCGAGUUGUAAUUUGCAGAGGAUGCUUCGGGUACGGGUUCCCUCCGAGUUCCCUGGAACGGGACGCCAUAGAGGGUGAGAGCCCCGUCUGGUAGGACACCCAGCCCGUGUGAAGCUCCCUCGACGAGUCGAGUAGUUUGGGAAUGCUGCUCUAACGGGAGGUAUACUCCUUCCAAGGCUAAAUACCGGCUGGAGACCGAUAGCGCACAAGUAGAGUGAUCGAAAGAUGAAAAGCACUUUGAAAAGAGAGUCAAAUAGCACGUGAAAUUGUUAAAAGGGAAGCGCUCGCUACCAGACUUGGGUUCGGCGGUUCAACCGGGGCCACGCCCCGGGGCACUCCGCCGGCCCAGGCCAGCAUCAGCUUUCCGUCGGGGGCAAAGGCGUCGGGAAUGUGGCUCCCCCUCGGGGGAGUGUUAUAGCCCGGCGCGUCAUACCCUUCGGGGGGCUGAGGUACGCGCUUCUGCAAGGAUGCUGGCGUAAUGGUAGCUAGUGACCCGUCUUGAAACACGGACCAAGGAGUCAACCUUAUGUGCGAGUGCCCGGGCGUAAAACCCCAGCGCGGAAUGAAAGUGAACGUAGGUGAGAGCUUCGGCGCAUCACCGACCGAUCCUGAUGUCCUCGGACGGAUUUGAGUGAGAGCAUAUAGGGUUGGACCCGAAAGAAGAUGAACUAUGCGUGUGUAGGGUGAAGCCAGAGGAAACUCUGGUGGAGGCUCGCAGCGGUUCUGACGUGCAAAUCGAUCGUCAAACAUGCGCAUGGGGGCGAAAGACUAAUC
RNAcentral lists this ribosomal RNA (875 nucleotides) under Plectosphaerella kunmingensis. RNAcentral describes it as "partial large subunit ribosomal RNA". It matches the Rfam family "Eukaryotic large subunit ribosomal RNA", at positions 37 to 936 of the family's 3401-position model. The record is from RNAcentral. Lineage: Eukaryota; Fungi; Ascomycota; Sordariomycetes; Glomerellales; Plectosphaerellaceae.